RNAcentral lists this ribosomal RNA (460 nucleotides) under uncultured bacterium. Its description in RNAcentral is "partial 16S ribosomal RNA". It matches the Rfam family "Bacterial small subunit ribosomal RNA", at positions 338 to 795 of the family's 1533-position model. The record is from RNAcentral.
CCUACGGGAGGCAGCAGUGAGGAAUAUUGGUCAAUGGACGCAAGUCUGAACCAGCCAUGCCGCGUGCAGGAUGACGGCUCUAUGAGUUGUAAACUGCUUUUGUACGAGGGUAAACCCCGAUACGUGUAUAGGGUUGAAAGUAGCGUACGAAUAAGGAUCGGCUAACUCCGUGCCAGCAGCCGCGGUAAUACGGAGGAUCCGAGCGUUAUCCGGAGUUAUUGGGGUGAAAGGGUGCGUAGGCGGUUUGAUAAGUUAGAGGGGAAAUGUCGGGGCUCAACCCCGAAACUGCCUCUAAUACUGUUGGCCUAUAGCAUAGUUGCGGUCGGCUGAUUGUAUGGUGUAGCGGUGACCUGCUUAGAGAUCAUACACACCACCGAUUGCGACGGCAGCUUACCAAACUAUAUCUGACGUUGCGGCACGAACGCGUGGGUAGCAAACAGUAUUAGAUACCCCUGUAGUC